AUUGAACGCUGGCGGCAGGCCUAACACAUGCAAGUCGAGCGGAUGAAGGGAGCUUGCUCCUGGAUUCAGCGGCGGACGGGUGAGUAAUGCCUAGGAAUCUGCCUGGUAGUGGGGGAUAACGUCCGGAAACGGGCGCUAAUCCCGCAUCCGUCCUGAGGGAGAAAGUGGGGGUUCUUCGGACCUCACGCUAUCAGAUGAGCCUAGGUCGGAUUAGAUAGUUGGUGGGGUAAAGGCCUACCAAGGCGACGAUCCGUAACUGGUCUGAGAGGAUGAUCAGUCACACUGGAACUGAGACACGGUCCAGACUCCUACGGGAGGCAGCAGUGGGGAAUAUUGGACAAUGGGCGAAAGCCUGAUCCAGCCAUGCCGCGUGUGUGAAGAAGGUCUUCGGAUUGUAAAGCACUUUAAGUUGGGAGGAAGGGCAGUAAGUUAAUACCUUGCUGUUUUGACGUUACCAACAGAAUAAGCACCGGCUAACUUCGUG
This 484-nucleotide ribosomal RNA is filed under the name uncultured bacterium. Its description in RNAcentral is "partial 16S ribosomal RNA". It matches the Rfam family "Bacterial small subunit ribosomal RNA", at positions 30 to 507 of the family's 1533-position model. The record is from RNAcentral.